GAGUUUGAUCGUGGCUCAGGAUGAACGCUGGCGGCGUGCCUAACACAUGCAAGUCGGGCGAAGCAUACAGGAGGAAGUUUUCGGAUGGAAUCCUGCAUGGCUGAGCGGCGGACGGGUGAGUAACGCGUGGGGUAACCUGCCUUAUACAGGGGGAGUAACAGUUAGAAAUAGACUGCUAAUAACCGCCAUAAGCGCACAGUACCGCAUGGUAGUGUGUGAAAACUACCGGUGGUAUAAGAUGGACCCGCGUCUGACUAGCCA
This 261-nucleotide ribosomal RNA is filed under the name uncultured microorganism. Its description in RNAcentral is "partial 16S ribosomal RNA". It matches the Rfam family "Bacterial small subunit ribosomal RNA", at positions 9 to 247 of the family's 1533-position model. The record is from RNAcentral.